GCAACUUGCAGUUGUUUUAAUAAAAUUGGUUCCUUAGGUUAUUUGCCUCUCUUCGUGAGAGGCAUUUUUUUUAUGUAUUUU
This 81-nucleotide non-coding RNA is filed under the name Aggregatibacter actinomycetemcomitans. RNAcentral's name for it is "Aggregatibacter sRNA JA04". It matches the Rfam family "Aggregatibacter sRNA JA04". Lineage: Bacteria; Pseudomonadati; Pseudomonadota; Gammaproteobacteria; Pasteurellales; Pasteurellaceae. The record is from Rfam by way of RNAcentral.